This 216-nucleotide ribosomal RNA is filed under the name Glomeromycotina sp. RNAcentral describes it as "partial small subunit ribosomal RNA". The stretch from base 40 to 216 matches the Rfam family "Eukaryotic small subunit ribosomal RNA", at positions 686 to 864 of the family's 1831-position model. The record is from RNAcentral. Lineage: Eukaryota; Fungi; Glomeromycota.
GGGUCAGUAGGUUGGUCGUGCCACCGGUACGUACUGGUCUCACUGAUUCCUCCUUCCUGAAGAACCGUAAUGCCAUUAAUUUGGUGUUGCGGGGAAACAGGACUGUUACUAUGAAAAAAUUAGAGUGUUUAAAGCAAGCUAACGCUUGAAUACAUUAGCAUGGAAUAAUGAAAUAGGACGAUCGAUCCUAUUUUGUUGGUUUCUAGGAUUGACGUA